AACGUAGGUGGCAAGCGUUAUCCGGAUUUACUGGGCGUAAAGCGUGUGCAGGCGGUUGCUCAAGUGGUGUAUGAAAUCGCCCGGCUUAACCGGGUGAGGUUAGGCCAGACUGGGCAACUGGAGGACAGGAGAGGGGCGUGGAAUUCCGGGUGUAGUGGUGAAAUGCGUAGAGAUCCGGAGGAACCCCAGCGGCGAAGGCGGCGCCCUGGCCUGUUACUGACGCUCAGACACGACAGCAUGGGGAG
RNAcentral lists this ribosomal RNA (245 nucleotides) under uncultured bacterium. RNAcentral describes it as "partial 16S ribosomal RNA". It matches the Rfam family "Bacterial small subunit ribosomal RNA", at positions 524 to 768 of the family's 1533-position model. The record is from RNAcentral.